GCCCACUUGUCGGAAUUGGUAGACGACCGAGACUUAAAAUCUUGUGCCUAUGGCGUACCGGUUCGAGUCCGGUAGUGGGUACCA
Molecule: transfer RNA, 84 nt
Filed under: Rhizobium phage RHph_TM30
Lineage: Duplodnaviria; Heunggongvirae; Uroviricota; Caudoviricetes; Kleczkowskaviridae
Also listed under: 2 other names
Description: tRNA-Leu
Rfam family: tRNA
About the family: Transfer RNA (tRNA) molecules are approximately 80 nucleotides in length. Their secondary structure includes four short double-helical elements and three loops (D, anti-codon, and T loops). Further hydrogen bonds mediate the characteristic L-shaped molecular structure. tRNAs have two regions of fundamental functional importance: the anti-codon, which is responsible for specific mRNA codon recognition, and the 3' end, to which the tRNAs corresponding amino acid is attached (by aminoacyl-tRNA synthetases). tRNAs cope with the degeneracy of the genetic code in two manners: having more than one tRNA (with a specific anti-codon) for a particular amino acid; and 'wobble' base-pairing, i.e. permitting non-standard base-pairing at the 3rd anti-codon position.
Source: RNAcentral